Small nucleolar RNA from Arachis duranensis, 107 nucleotides. The record is from RefSeq and is a predicted model, not a curated record. NCBI's taxonomy places the organism in Eukaryota, Viridiplantae, Streptophyta, Magnoliopsida, Fabales, Fabaceae.
AAACAUGUCAGGGGGCAUUUCCUAGUCAAAUCUUUGAAUCUUUCCCAGGCUUCAUAAAUGGUCUCACCAUCCAACUAUCUGAACGUUUGUACUUCAGUUCUUAGCCU